Molecule: long non-coding RNA, 426 nt
Filed under: Ananas comosus (pineapple)
Lineage: Eukaryota; Viridiplantae; Streptophyta; Magnoliopsida; Poales; Bromeliaceae
Description: long non-coding RNA (ACOM_LNC017554)
Source: RNAcentral
UUAUUAUAUUUAGGUUAAGAUUUUAUAUAUAGUAUUCGAUACGAAAAUCGGACGUUAUAAGAACGAGCAAAAUGAUCGAAACCGUACCGAAAUAGGGUUUAGAACGAACGGAAGUGGACCAAGUUCUGAUACGCUGUGAAACCAUUGAUUACGCUAAGAGCGUGUUUUGUUCGGGAUUAGAAUGGGAAUGGAAAAUAGAAUUGAAUUGUGUUGGAAUGAAAAAUAAGAUGAUGAAUCAUCCAAAAAUAUUUGGUUUAUUAUUCGGAAUGGGAAUCGGAAUGGACAAUUCAGACAUUUUUAGGGUUUUGAGAAAGUGAGUAGUUUAUUGCGGAAUGAGCGAAUCCAGAAUUCAAAACUAGAUUGAGUCGUUCUCAUUCCAGAGUGGAAUGAAAAUCGGAAUUCAAUUCCUGUUAAACAAUCAGUAAA